Molecule: ribosomal RNA, 256 nt
Filed under: uncultured bacterium
Lineage: Bacteria
Description: partial 16S ribosomal RNA
Rfam family: Bacterial small subunit ribosomal RNA
Source: RNAcentral
UAAUACGAAGGGUGCAAGCGUUGUUCGGAAUCAUUGGGCGUAAAGCGCGCGCAGGCGGAUUAAUAAGUCAGGUGUGAAAUCUCGGGGCUCAACCUCGAAACUGCGCCUGAAACUAUUAGUCUAGAAUGUCGGAGGGGGUAGGGGAAUUUCACGUGUAGGGGUAAAAUCCGUAGAGAUGUGAAGGAACACCGGUGGCGAAGGCGCCUACCUGGACGACUAUUGACGCUGAGGCGCGAAAGCGUGGGGAGCAAACAGG